GCCGGAACCCUAGAAACCGGCCAGUCAGGUUUCGCCACGUGGCAAGUUUUGUUUUAUUUUAUUUUAUUUUUUUAUUCGGCCGAAGUGGAUAAUACACUUUUGCAGAAAAGACCCUAUAACUUCAAACCUUUAUAUCUUUUAAACCGUUUGUCCAAAAUUUACGAUCCACACCUUUCUGGAAUCGUCGUAACGUGUAGAAUAUUUUGGCACUGUUUAUUUUCAGUUUUGAAUAACUUAGACAGUAGCUAUUUACAAAAUGGUGGUUUAUGGUUUAAAUUUCAAAUGAAUUGUUUCAAAAUAGUUUUGAGCAUGUUAGCUUGCUAUAAAAUUAUUUAAACUCGUUCUCUAUCCAUUAGGACCAGAAAAGAAAUUAUUUUGUGUAUAAUCAUGGGAUGCAAGUUAAAUAUUGCUCUAUGUUACAAAAGCCGCACAAUCUUUUGUUUUAAACCUAUCCAUGUUUCUUGCAUAUUAAUUACCACUUUGAUGUUGUAUAAUCUGUCCAAACAAUUUGAAAAACUUUUCAAAACAGAAACGAAGCUUCUUACCUUAGAGGUAACCUUUGUGUGCAUCAGCAUAGCAUGUGCAUCAUGGCAUGGUUUUUGUAUUGAAUGUUGUGUUUAUUGUGUGUGUUCCUUUUAUUUUAGAUUGUGUGGAGUGUAAGCAUUGUUGUUGCGAAGAGUGCGAGAACUACCACAACCUUGGACAAGGCAAGUUCACUUUGAUCAUUCUCCUAAAUAUUUUUACUAUGCACUAGAUGUUUUAUUAGAUGCAUCAGGAAUAUUAUUCGUACUUCUAUGCUAGCUAUAAAUCCCAGGUAGUAUAGUUUACCCUCGCCAUUACCUUGCUACCAAAAUUGCCUUCGAUUGUAGUUGAAUGCUUGGCUAUGGUAGUAUCGUGGGGGAAAUAACUACAUUAUUUAUUGUUAUGCCUUUGGCGAUAUGAAAUGAUUUUAUUAGAUGUAAGGCAAAACAAUUAAUUAAAUGAACCGUCCUGGGUGGGCAGCUUUGAAGAUUUUGAGGAUUAGCGGCGUCAGGUCCAUUUCUAUGGGUCCCUCUAAGUCGAGUUCUUGUGGAUUC
Molecule: long non-coding RNA, 1076 nt
Filed under: Brachypodium distachyon (stiff brome)
Lineage: Eukaryota; Viridiplantae; Streptophyta; Magnoliopsida; Poales; Poaceae
Description: long non-coding RNA (BDIS_LNC002970)
Source: RNAcentral